This 152-nucleotide transfer RNA is filed under the name Aspergillus calidoustus. It matches the Rfam family "tRNA". Rfam says of the family: Transfer RNA (tRNA) molecules are approximately 80 nucleotides in length. Their secondary structure includes four short double-helical elements and three loops (D, anti-codon, and T loops). The record is from Rfam by way of RNAcentral. Lineage: Eukaryota; Fungi; Ascomycota; Eurotiomycetes; Eurotiales; Aspergillaceae.
GGCCAGGUAGCUUAAUGGUAAAGCGCCGAUUCUCUACAUCCGACUGGGUCGCUCAGGGUGUGCCACUCCUAAGGGGUGAGCAAUUCGGAAAAAGGCAGCAGAGCUGACCUUUGGUACCACCGAAGAUGCAAGUUCGAGUCUUGCUCUGGCUA